RNAcentral lists this long non-coding RNA (1811 nucleotides) under Homo sapiens (human). Its description in RNAcentral is "HSALNT0406464". The record is from RNAcentral. Lineage: Eukaryota; Metazoa; Chordata; Mammalia; Primates; Hominidae.
AGCGUUGCAGCUUGCAUGUGGCAGGGAUGUAGGGUGAAGCUGUGCAGGGCAAAAGACAGGUCAGUUCCCGCUGGAAGUGCCCCACUGGGGGGCCUCGGUGUGUCUCUUUCCCCAGCACUGGCAUGGCACAUUUUGACCUGAGCAAUGGUGAGCUGCCCGGAAUACGAACAGGAGGAAGAGAACCUUCCCCAGGCAGCAUGUGAGGCUGGGGUGGCACUCGACACAGGACAGCAGGCAAGGACAUGCCGCCCUCCAGGCUGAGGGUCUUGGGAGCCUCCCCUCCCAGCCCCUGCUGUGGCCUCCCCCUGGGCCCUGGCAUGGGAGGAGUUAAGCUGCCGCGGGCACCUUGGCACAUUGCGCUGCCCAGAGUGUCCGGCUCCCCACCCCCACUGCUUUUCUUCCUUUUUGCCUUUUUCCUUCUUAAUUAAUCAUACGCUGCUGCCCAAUUUAAAUAUGGAAAUGCCCAGGCCGAGGCGAUGCAAUUAUUCAUGAGGGCCGGGCGGCUGUCCGGGGCUCUCGGGCUGUGGGGAGUACCGUGGCAUCGCCUCCGUUCUGAUGUGUGUGAAAUUAUGUGCACAAAAGGCGCCUCCUUAUCUGGGAGUGUGAACUAAAUAAAUAAAUAAGGGCUUUUGUUUGUUUGCCGGCUCCUGCACAUGGCUGCUGGGACUCAAGCGCUCGUGUUGUCUGCGCCUCUGUGGGACUCUGGGGACGGGAGGCAGGGGAGGCCCCCGCAGGCCGGCCAGGGGCUGGGGGCUGGGGGCCGGGGGCCGGCCGCCGGGCACCUGGGGCCCUCUCCCUCCCCAGGCACCACCCUCACCCCGCAGCUCCCCCCCAUACACACCCUCGCUGGAAAGUUCGCCCUGCCCGGGCUGGGCUCCCAGGCAGCCUGGCACCGUGCCAGGCUCGCCGCCGAGCUCGGGCAGCAGGGUGGGGCAAACGCGGAGCACGGAGGACGGGGCCGGGCGACCUGGGCACCAGCAGGACCCGAGGCCAGGAGCCAGGGGCCCAGAAGAUUGAGCUUCUAGAGCCUCAGAGAUGGAAUUCGCCGUUUUGCCGCGAUUUGGCGUUAACUUAUUGACCCAUGGGGAGGAGGGUCACUUCCCGUGAAAAGAAGGCAGAGAUGUUUUGCUGUGCCCAGUGUGAGGAAGCGAAGGAAAAGAAAGAUCUUUUGAAAAUGUGUACAUCUACUUGCAGCUUGAAAAUUCCAAGUGCCAGACAUUUUUCUUGGAGGAAAUAAAUGUCUUCAAUUUAUUCAUCUUACCUGUUGAUUAUGUUCUGUAAUGAUUUAUUUUAUAAUUUAAUCCUUGUCUAGAACCGAGGCCAUCUUUGGAAAGUAAAAGACCUAGGUCUCUUUGGUCCAGGAGACAUUGUGGCCCUCUCUUAAAAUCAUUGACUGCCGAGAUCUGGGCCCAGGCGGCUCUCGGACUGAACCGGUCUGUGCUAGGCAGCCUGGCCCACUCGGCCUUCAAAACACAAGGGAUGGGAGACAUAUGCUCGGCUCACAUCGUUUUGUUUUGAUUUAUUUUAAACUGCUUAAGAUGAUUUUAGCACAAGGAGUGGUGUAUCUUACUUGCAUUCUGAGAGCCACUGGAUUUGCAAGCUAGAGUACAAUUUUUUUUUUAAUCCAAAUUUAGAAAUUGCCUUUUAGAGUAGACAACAGCAUGCUACUUUGCCUUUUAACUCACUUUUAAAGAACGAUUCUUAAGAUCAAGUACAUUGAAUUUGGAGAUUGGUCCCCCUCCGUUAUUAGGGGCUGGAAAUGGCCCACUUUUCAAAAAUAAGGUCAGAAAAGGGGUGUUUCUGACCUAAGA